ACGUGCUUUCCGUCCACCA
RNAcentral lists this unclassified non-coding RNA (19 nucleotides) under Mus musculus (house mouse). RNAcentral describes it as "oocyte_clustered_small_RNA3240". The record is from RNAcentral. Lineage: Eukaryota; Metazoa; Chordata; Mammalia; Rodentia; Muridae.